GUGGGGAAUAUUGGACAAUGGGCGAAAGCCUGAUCCAGCCAUGCCGCGUGUGUGAAGAAGGUCUUCGGAUUGUAAAGCACUUUAAGUUGGGAGGAAGGGUAGUAACCUAAUACGUUGCUACUUUGACGUUACCGACAGAAUAAGCACCGGCUAACUUCGUGCCAGCAGCCGCGGUAAUACGAAGGGUGCAAGCGUUAAUCGGAAUUACUGGGCGUAAAGCGCGCGUAGGUGGUUCAGUAAGUAGGAAGUGAAAGCCCCGGGCUCAAGCUGGGAGCUGCUGUCAGAACUGCUGAGCUAGAGUACGGUAGAGGGUGGUGGAAUUGCCUGUGUAGCGGUGAAAUGCGUAGAUAUAGGAAGGAACACCAGUGGCGAAGGCGACCACCUGGACUGAUACUGACACUGAGGUGCGAAAGCGUGGGGAGCAAACAGGAUUAGAAACCCCGGUAGUCC
RNAcentral lists this ribosomal RNA (450 nucleotides) under uncultured bacterium. Its description in RNAcentral is "partial 16S ribosomal RNA". It matches the Rfam family "Bacterial small subunit ribosomal RNA", at positions 354 to 796 of the family's 1533-position model. The record is from RNAcentral.